Molecule: long non-coding RNA, 243 nt
Filed under: Cricetulus griseus (Chinese hamster)
Lineage: Eukaryota; Metazoa; Chordata; Mammalia; Rodentia; Cricetidae
Description: lncRNA (ENSCGRG00000024590.1)
Source: RNAcentral
AUGGAAUUUUUAUUUUCUUUUAGCAAGCAAUCCUUGGGUUGGCAUCACAGGCUCAGUCUUUCGUAUAUCAAGCCAGCUGCGUUGACUGUAGAACCAGGGACGAGCUGUGAUCUCGUGCUUUCGUGCCCCAUGUUGGGCUCCAGGAAUCAUUGGUGGAAUUUAUCUGCCAGCUGGUGUUUCAGAGUCCUUUAUAAAUUAAUUAUAGUAUUUACCAGCCAUGUGGAGGUGAAGAAAUCUAAUUAG